Molecule: ribosomal RNA, 248 nt
Filed under: Stramonita biserialis
Lineage: Eukaryota; Metazoa; Mollusca; Gastropoda; Neogastropoda; Muricidae
Description: partial 12S ribosomal RNA
Source: RNAcentral
CUUGGCGGUGUUUUAGACUCUUUAGGGGAACCUGUCUCAUAAUCGACAAUCCACGUAAAACCUUACCUUUAUUUGCUACCAGUUUGUAUACCGUCGUCGUCAGGUAACUUUUUAGAAAAAAGAAGUUAGCAAAAAAGCCUUAUAAGCUCCUACGUCAGAUCAAGGUGCAGCUAAUGUAAAGGAGAGGAUGGGUUACAAUUAUAAUAAUCAUAAUUACGAAGUAACAGCUUAAAAUAGUAGUUAAAUAC